CCUGGUCAUCCCUACUGCCUCUGAUCUGGAGGACUCACUAAACAGAGAACAUCCCUGGUUAUCCCUACUGCCUCUGAUCUGGUGGACUCACUAAACAGAGAACAUCCCUGGUCAUCCCUACUGCCUCUGAUCUGGAGGACUCACUAAACAGAGAACAUCCCUGGUUAUCCCUACUGCCUCUGAUCUGGUGGACUCACUAAACAGAGAACAUCCCUGGUCCUCCCUACUGCCUCUGAUCUGGAGGACUCACUAAACAGAGAACAUCCCUGGUCAUCCCUACUGCCUCUGAUCUGGAGGACUCACUAAACAGAGAACAUCCCUGGUCGUCCCUACUGCCUCUGAUCUGGAGGACUCACUAAACAGAGAACAUCCCUGGUCAUCCCUACUGCCUCUGAUCUGGUGGACUCACUAAACAGAGAACAUCCCUGGUCAUCCCUACUGCCUCUGAUCUGGAAGACUCACUAAACAGAGAACAUCCCUGGUCAUCCCUACUGCCUCUGAUCUGGUGGACUCACUAAACAGAGAACAUCCCUGGUCAUCCCUACUGCCUCUGAUCUGGAGGACUCACUAAACAGAGAACAUCCUUGGUCAUCCCUACUGCCUCUGAUCUGGAGGACUCACUAAACAGAGAACAUCCCUGGUUAUCCCUACUGCCUCUGAUCUGGUGGACUCACUAAACAGAGAACAUCCCUGGUCAUCCCUACUGCCUCUGAUCUGGAGGACUCACUAAACAGAGAACAUCCCUGGUCAUCCCUACUGCCUCUGAUCUGGAGGACUCACUAAACAGAGAACAUCCCUGGUCGUCCCUACUGCCUCUGAUCUGGAGGACUCACUAAACAGAGAACAUCCCUGGUUAUCCCUACUGCCUCUGAUCUGGUGGACUCACUAAACAGAGAACAUCCCUGGUCAUCCCUACUGCCUCUGAUCUGGAAGACUCACUAAACAGAGAACAUCCCUGGUCAUCCCUACAGCCUCUGAUCUGGAGGACUCACUAAAUAGAGAACAUCCCUGGUUAUCCCUACUGCCUCUGAUCUGGUGGACUCACUAAACAGAGAACAUCCCUGGUCAUCCCUACUGCCUCUGAUCUGGAGGACUCACUAAACAGAGAACAUCCUUGGUCAUCCCUACUGCCUCUGAUCUGGAGGACUCACUAAACAGAGAACAUCCCUGGUUAUCCCUACUGCCUCUGAUCUGGUGGACUCACUAAACAGAGUACAUCCCUGGUCAUCCCUACUGCCUCUGAUCUGGAGGACUCACUAAACAGAGAACAUCCUUGGUCCUCCCUACUGCCUCUGAUCUGGAGUGUACCCCUGGCUAUCCAUAAAUAAAAUAAAAACAAGAAAAUGGUGCUUUUCUGCUUAAUAGAAGGAAUUUGAAAAAAACAUAUAUUUUUUUUAACUUUUGAUACUUAAGGAUAUUUUUAUAAAUGUACUUUUGAUACUUCAGUAUAUUUAAAACCAAAAUACCUUUAGACUUUUACUCAAGUAGUAUUUUACUAGGUGACUCACUUUUACUUGAGUCAUUUUCUAUGUAUCUUUUGUAUCUUUAGUACUUUUUCCACCAUUGAGUUUGUUUUUAUUAUAUUUGAGUACGCGAGUUAGUUUUAAAAAAAGGGUCUAUGCAGGUAGUUUGGGUAUUUAGCAGGCAGUCUUAUGCCUUGGAUGUCACAUCCUGACCAGUAAUAGGGGAUAUUUGUUAUUGUAGUUUGGUCAGGACGUGGCAGAGGGUAUUUGUUAUUGUAGUUUGGUCAGGACGUGGCAGAGGGGUAUUUGUUAUUGUAGUUUGGUCAGGACGUGGCAGAGGGGUAUUUGUUAUUGUAGUUUGGUCAGGACGUGGCAGAGGGGUUAUUUGUUAUUGUAGUUUGGUCAGGACGUGGCAGAGGGGUUAUUUGUUAUUGUAGUUUGGUCAGGACGUGGCAGAGGGGUAUUUGUUAUUGUAGUUUGGUCAGGACGUGGCAGAGGGGUAUUUGUUAUUGUAGUUUGGUCAGGACGUGGCAGAGGGGUAUUUGUUAUUGUAGUUUGGUCAGGACGUGGCAGAGGGGUUAUUUGUUAUUGUAGUUUGGUCAGGACGUGGCAGAGGGUAUUUGUUAUUGUAGUUUGGUCAGGACGUGGCAGAGGGGUUAUUUGUUAUUGUAGUUUGGUCAGGACGUGGCAGAGGGUGUUUGUAUUGUAGUUUGGUCAGGACGUGGCAGAGGGUAUUUGUUUUAUGUGGUUCGGGGUGGUGGUUUGUUUAGAAGGGUGUUUGAUUUAUUAUUUCCGGGUUUUGGGUAAUGUUCUAUGUUCUCUCUAGUUUAGUAUUUCUAUGUCUAGGUAAUUGGGUGUUGGACUCUCAAUUGGAGGCAGGUGUUUUUAGUUGUCUCUGAUUGAGAGUCCUAUAUAUAGGUAUGUGUUGGUAUUAGUGUUUGGUGGGAGAUUGUUUCUGUGUGUAGCUCCAAGCCUUACAGGACUGUUAUUCGUCGUUGUUUCUUUGUUGUUGUGUACGUGUUUAUUUUUGGUUUCACCUUCUUCUUCGCCAACUAAUUAAAAAAAGAAGAUGAGUGCACAUUUCCCCGCUGCGUCUUGGUCCGCUUUAUCCGACGACAACCGUUACAUUACAUACGGUCCUGUUGGUUCCGGACUCGGUGUAAUGGUUCCUCCUGCCGUUCAGUAGCAGAGAGAACAAUCUAUGACUUGGGGUGGCUGGAGUCUUUGACAAUUUUUUUGGGGGGGGCUUCCUCUGACACCGCCUGGUAUCGAGGUCCUGGAUGGCAGGGAGUUCGGCCCCAUGUGAUGUCCUGGGCCGUACUCACCAACUGCCUUGCGGUGAAGCAGCCAGUGAAGAUGCCCUCAAUGCUGUAUAACUUUUUGAGGAUCUGAGGGCCAAUGCCAAGUCUUUUCGGCCUCCGCUUGUCGUGCCCUCUUCACAAUUGUGUGGACCAUUUGAAUGACUUAGUGAUGACACCGAGGAAAGCCCGUUCCACUACAGCCCCUUUGAUGUGGAUGAAGGUGUGCUCGCACCUCUGUUUCCUAUAGUCCACGAUCAUCUCCUUUGUCUUGCUGACGUUGAGGGAGAGGUUGUUGUCCUGGCACAACACUGCCAGGUCUCUGACCUCCUCCGUGUUCACUGCCGCUCUCUAUAAGGACAUGGGAUUUUGUUCUGUUAUAAAUAUAAAUCCCAAACAGUUUAACUUCAGUUUACUCUGACAGUUGAACUUUCCUAUUCAGAAGAGACUUAACAUUCCCAAAUCUUUCACUGUUGUUUCUUUAACCAGUCAGUCCUCUACCCUAUAUUCCCUAGGUUUAUUACGGGUGCUAGCUACAAAACUCACCACUGUGUUUUAUAUCAAAAGGUGAGUUGGACCUCGCUGUCCGUGAGACGAGAACAACACGCUCUCGUGUUUGUCUAUAAAGCACUUCUGAAUAAACUACCUUCUUAUUUAUCAUCACUCAUCAAUAUUAGAAUUAUAAUUCAUGAAACCAGGUCUCAAGCAUGGAAAAGGAGACAGCAUGAAUAUCAUAUGAGCAGAUUUACUGUAUUACCUCAAUUAGCCAGGAAAUCCCUAGUUUGAAAGCAACUGUUUUUCUGUAUGCUGUGCUGCU
RNAcentral lists this long non-coding RNA (3578 nucleotides) under Salmo salar (Atlantic salmon). Its description in RNAcentral is "lncRNA (ENSSSAG00000121903.1)". Lineage: Eukaryota; Metazoa; Chordata; Actinopteri; Salmoniformes; Salmonidae. The record is from RNAcentral.